Molecule: long non-coding RNA, 1083 nt
Filed under: Nicotiana benthamiana
Lineage: Eukaryota; Viridiplantae; Streptophyta; Magnoliopsida; Solanales; Solanaceae
Description: long non-coding RNA (NBEN_LNC016219)
Source: RNAcentral
GUUCCUUGUGCUUAAGCUCCAUAUAUUCUUUCUUAAGUUCUUCGAUUCCAGCAAUUUUAUGGUCCUCGGUCAGUUUCUCUCGGUCUUCUUCUUCUUCUUGAUCUCCUUCCUCGCCUUCCUCUUCCUCUUGUUCUCCACUUUCAUCUUCGUUGUUGUAAUGGUUAACAUCAUCAUCGUCGUCACUGUCACUAUAGCCAUUGUUGUCAUCGCUGUCGUUGACUUCAUCAAAGUUCUCAACCUAAGCACAUCAAAAACAUAUAUCACAUGCAAACUAUUUACGCAAAAAAGAUAAAGCUCAGUACCAGGUAAGAAAUACAUAAAGCUAAGUGAGAAAAACUAACAUAGUCCGACAUCUCAUUUAACAUUUCAUCAUUCUCAAACUCAGAGUUGCUUUCACUCUCCCCUACUUUCCUCGAUCUCUUAGAGGACUUGCUCAUUUUCCUGCCUCCGAAAUCUUUAAAAAAAUGCAUCAGUUAUUAGUAGGGUUAUUAAAGGUGCACAUGACAAAAACAAAAGCCUAUUUUUAUAAAAAACAAUACUUUUAAAGAUAGAGUUGGAAAUCUCCUUAAAAGCAAGACACGCUCCAAAGGAAAAGAGAGUAUAAUAGGAGCUCAAGCAGAAAUUUUCUCACUUCAUACUUAAAUACAAAAUGGGAUUACCUCAAAAUAUCUAAAGCUAAGCUAUCUAUAUACAAGCCAAACUACAUCAAACAUCUAAACCUUACUAACUAAUUAAACAACAACAACAACAACAAACCCAAUGGAACCCAACAAAUGAGGUAUGGGAGGGUAGUGUUUCCGAUACAACAAAGCAAAGGAAAUAAAGUAACGAAAAAGACAUGGAAAGAGCAGUAACAACAGCAAGAUAGUAACAGAAGCAAAGCGCCAUACUAGCUAAUUAAGUUAGCUAAAAACAAGAAGAAGCACAUUACUCUUACCUUGAGUUAGAUUACCACUAUUCAAUCGGAAUUUUUGUCCAAUCCUCCUUCGGUCGUAACCCUAGCAGAGGUGAUUUGGGGAUUUUAGAAGAAAGCAACGUUACUUGUCAAAGAAAACAGAGUGAAUAAAUGAAGCUAAACCUCUG